CAGCAGCCGCGGUAAUACGAAGGGUGCAAGCGUUAAUCGGAAUUACUGGGCGUAAAGCGUGCGUAGGCGGUGAGUUAAGUCUGCUGUGAAAUCCCCGGGCUCAACCUGGGAAUGGCAGUGGAUACUGGCUCGCUAGAGUGUGUCAGAGGAUGGUGGAAUUCCCGGUGUAGCGGUGAAAUGCGUAGAGAUCGGGAGGAACAUCAGUGGCGAAGGCGGCCAUCUGGGACAACACUGACGCUGAGGCACGAAAGCGUGGGGAGCAAACAGGAUUAGAUACCCCGGUAGUCCCUGUCUCUUAUCC
Molecule: ribosomal RNA, 301 nt
Filed under: uncultured bacterium
Lineage: Bacteria
Description: partial 16S ribosomal RNA
Rfam family: Bacterial small subunit ribosomal RNA
Source: RNAcentral